Molecule: transfer RNA, 76 nt
Filed under: Ottowia beijingensis
Lineage: Bacteria; Pseudomonadati; Pseudomonadota; Betaproteobacteria; Burkholderiales; Comamonadaceae
Also listed under: 12 other names
Description: tRNA-Thr
Rfam family: tRNA
About the family: Transfer RNA (tRNA) molecules are approximately 80 nucleotides in length. Their secondary structure includes four short double-helical elements and three loops (D, anti-codon, and T loops).
Source: RNAcentral
GCCGACUUAGCUCAGUUGGUAGAGCAACGCACUCGUAACGCGUAGGUCGCCAGUUCGAUCCCGGCAGUCGGCACCA